Molecule: ribosomal RNA, 1303 nt
Filed under: metagenome
Description: bacterial LSU rRNA
Rfam family: Bacterial large subunit ribosomal RNA
Source: RNAcentral
CCUUACACGACCGUACCGCAAACCGACACUGGUGCGCGAGAUGAGUAUUCUCAGGCGCUUGAGAGAACUCGGGAGAAGGAACUCGGCAAAUUGACACCGUAACUUCGGAAGAAGGUGUGCCUUUAGUAGGUGAAGUCCCUCGCGGAUGGAGCCCAAUGAGGUUGCAAAGAAUCGGUGGCUGCGACUGUUUAAUAAAAACACAGCACUCUGCAAACACGAAAGUGGACGUAUAGGGUGUGACGCCUGCCCGGUGCUGGAAGAUUAAGUGAUGGGGUGCAAGCUCUUGAUCGAAGUCCCAGUAAACGGCGGCCGUAACGAUAACGGUCCUAAGGUAGCGAAAUUCCUUGUCGGGUAAGUUCCGACCUGCACGAAUGGCGUAACGAUGGCCACACUGUCUCCUCCCGAGACUCAGCGAAGUUGAAAUGUUUGUGAUGAUGCAAUCUCCCCGCGGAAAGACGGAAAGACCCCAUGAACCUUUACUGUAGCUUUGUAUUGGACUUUGAACGGAUCUGUGUAGGAUAGGUGGGAGGCUUUGAAGCCGGGUCGCUAGAUCUGGUGGAGCCAACGUUGAAAUACCACCCUGGUGCGUUUGAGGUUCUAACCUAGGCCCGUAAUCCGGGCCGGGGACAGUGCAUGGUAGGCAGUUUGACUGGGGCGGUCUCCUCCCAAAGCGUAACGGAGGAGUUCGAAGGUACGCUAGUUACGGUCGGACAUCGUGACGAUAGUGCAAUGGCAUAAGCGUGCUUAACUGCGAGACUGACAAGUCGAGCAGAUGCGAAAGCAGGACAUAGUGAUCCGGUGGUUCUGUAUGGAAGGGCCAUCGCUCAACGGAUAAAAGGUACUCUGGGGAUAACAGGCUGAUACCGCCCAAGAGUUCAUAUCGACGGCGGUGUUUGGCACCUCGAUGUCGGCUCAUCUCAUCCUGGGGCUGUAGCCGGUCCCAAGGGUAUGGCUGUUCGCCAUUUAAAGAGGUACGUGAGCUGGGUUUAAAACGUCGUGAGACAGUUUGGUCCCUAUCUUCCGUGGGCGCUGCAGAUUUGAGGAAGCCUGCUCCUAGUACGAGAGGACCGGAGUGGACGCACCUCUGGUGUACCUGUUGUCACGCCAGUGGCAUUGCAGGGUAGCUAAGUGCGGAAGAGAUAACCGCUGAAAGCAUCUAAGCGGGAAACUCGUUUCAAGAUGAGAUCUGCCGGGGCCUUGAGCCCCCUGAAGAGUCGUUCUAGACCAGGACGUUGAUAGGUCAGGUGUGGAAGCGCAGUAAUGCGUUAAGCUAACUGAUACUAAUUGCUCGUGCGGCUUGAUC